UAUUUAAACUGCAAUAAGAAAUACUUAACUUAAGAGAAUUAAGAGAAAGGAUUAUGUUAAUAAGAGUGGGAGAGAGAGUGAGAGUGUGUUGUAAAGGAAAGUUCUGAAAGGAUGGCCCUUUAUCAUCAGAGAAGGGCCCAUGAUGAAGGCCACAGAUAUGAGGGAAUUUUGCUGACCAGAGGUGACAGCAAGACCCUCGUCACAUCACAAGACAUAAUGCUUGACAGGCUAGUCGAGAGUAUGACUGACAGGUUCCAGGAUGCCAGUGUGAGGGUCCUGUGUGCCACCAAGCUGGUCAGCUUCACCAACUGGCCAGUGUCAGGAGAUGCAGCAGCAGGUUACUUUAUGUUUUGUAUUACAGAUUUUGGAGACACUGAACUGGAAACCCUGGUGGACCACUUCCUGUCCUGGAGACCACUGGCAUCCAUGUUGAAAGGAUCCCUGACCAGUGAACUGUCCUGAAGUUGCUGAUGUACCAAGAGUCCCAGUCCCUGCAGAAGAUGUCCUGGUUCCUUGUCAACAGGAGCCAUCAGCAUUCCUGUCCUGGUUUUCUGGCAUUUGUUGACCUGGUCCUGUCCUUCCCUGCCUCCAUAGCUGAAUGUGAAAGAGGUUUUAAUACCAUGAAACCGGUGAAAACCGAUUGGCGGUCCAACCUAAAGUCUGACACACUGUCAGAUCUCCUUAUGGUCCAGCUGUCCUCUCCAGAGAUCAGGGAGUAUGAUCCUUUAAAAGUAUUGAUGCUGUGACAUGGACCAUGCAAAGAGAGGGUGAGGAGUUCUGAGGUUUAAGUUGAUUAAAAUGAUUAAGCAUCUGAUAGGUUUACAAAACCUUCAAAUUUACUUUUAUGUUUGAUCCUUAAGUACAUUUAAUAGCAAAUACUUCAGUAGAAUUUUGAGUUUAAGACUUCUUCUGUUGUAUUCAGGCUGGGAAUUUAAAUCUAGCCACAGCCAAAAUUAACCAGCAUCUGAUAAGCCUCUUUUUUUACCUGUAUUUAAUCAGGGUAUUUCUAAUCAAAGUAAAGGAUUUGUAUCAGGAGAGCACCAGUUCUAUGUCCACUGUACUUCUCAUAAUUGUAUUUUACCAUUGCUGUUGCCCUGUUUUCACUUCUAUGUACUCUUAUUCAUUGUAUCUUUUAUGUUUUGUUUAUUUCAUUGUGUGCCCAAUGUUUGGUGUUUUUGCACUCUGUACAGCACUUUUGGUCAACUACAGUUGUUUUUAAAUGUGCUCUACAAAUAAACUUGAUUUGAUUAACUCUU
Long non-coding RNA from Oncorhynchus tshawytscha (Chinook salmon), 1256 nucleotides. RefSeq lists it as uncharacterized. Lineage: Eukaryota; Metazoa; Chordata; Actinopteri; Salmoniformes; Salmonidae. The transcript is spliced from 2 exons. The record is from RefSeq and is a predicted model, not a curated record.